Molecule: ribosomal RNA, 457 nt
Filed under: uncultured bacterium
Lineage: Bacteria
Description: bacterial SSU rRNA
Rfam family: Bacterial small subunit ribosomal RNA
Source: RNAcentral
CCGAGGCAGCAGUGGGGAAUAUUGGUCAAUGGACGCAAGUCUGAACCAGCCAUGCCGCGUGAAGGAUGAAGGCCCUCUGGGUUGUAAACUUCUUUUAUCUGGGACGAAAAAAGGGAAUUCUUUCUCACUUGACGGUACCAGAGGAAUAAGCACCGGCUAACUCCGUGCCAGCAGCCGCGGUAAUACGGAGGGUGCAAGCGUUAUCCGGAUUCACUGGGUUUAAAGGGAGCGUAGGUGGGUCUGUAAGUCAGUGGUGAAAUCUCCGAGCUUAACUCGGAAACUGCCAUUGAUACUAUAGGUCUUGAAUUAUCUGGAGGUAAGCGGAAUAUGUCAUGUAGCGGUGAAAUGCUUAGAUAUGACAUAGAACACCAAUUGCGAAGGCAGCUUGCUACGGAUAUAUUGACACUGAGGCUCGAAAGCGUGGGGAUCAAACAGGAUUAGAAACCCUUGUAGUCCU